GUGGGAGGGGGCUUGCUCCCGAUGGCGGAGGGUCAGUCAACACAUCUGAUACUGACCCACCGCCAUCGGGAGCAAGCCCCCUCCCAC
This 87-nucleotide unclassified non-coding RNA is filed under the name Pseudomonas synxantha. The record is from RNAcentral. Lineage: Bacteria; Pseudomonadati; Pseudomonadota; Gammaproteobacteria; Pseudomonadales; Pseudomonadaceae.